RNAcentral lists this ribosomal RNA (257 nucleotides) under Paraglomus sp. BSLA-4. Its description in RNAcentral is "partial 18S ribosomal RNA". It matches the Rfam family "Eukaryotic small subunit ribosomal RNA", at positions 624 to 886 of the family's 1831-position model. Lineage: Eukaryota; Fungi; Glomeromycota; Glomeromycetes; Paraglomerales; Paraglomeraceae. The record is from RNAcentral.
AAGCUCGUAGUUGAAUUUCGGGCCUGGCUGGACGGUCCGCCCUUCGGGUGAGUACUGUCUGUGGUCGGGUCCUACCUUCUGGCGAAGCGUCAUGGCCUUAACCGGCCGUGGCGGGGAACCAGGACUUUUACUGUGAAAAAAUUAGAGUGUUCAAAGCAGGCAAUCGCUUGGAUACAUUAGCAUGGAAUAAUGGAAUAGGACAAUGGUUCUAUUUGUUGGUUUCUAGGACCGUUGUAAUGAUAAUAGGGAUAGUUGGG